AUUGAACGCUGGCGGCAGGCCUAACACAUGCGAGUCGAGCGGAUGAAGGGAGCUUGCUCCUGGAUUCAGCGGCGGACGGGUGAGUAAUGCCUAGGAAUCUGCCUGGUAGUGGGGGAUAACGUCCGGAAACGGGCGCUAAUACCGCAUACGUCCUGAGGGAGAAAGUGGGGGAUCUUCGGACCUCACGCUAUCAGAUGAGCCUAGGUCGGAUUAGCUAGUUGGUGGGGUAAAGGCCUACCAAGGCGACGAUCCGUAACUGGUCUGAGAGGAUGAUCAGUCACACUGGAACUGAGACACGGUCCAGACUCCUACGGGAGGCAGCAGUGGGGAAUAUUGGACAAUGGGCGAAAGCCUGAUCCAGCCAUGCCGCGUGUGUGAGGAAGGUCUUCGGAUUGUAAAGCACUUUAAGUUGGGAGGAAGGGCAGUAAGUUAAUACCUUGCUGUUUUGACGUUACCAACAGAAUAAGCACCGGCUAACUUCGUG
This 484-nucleotide ribosomal RNA is filed under the name uncultured bacterium. RNAcentral's name for it is "partial 16S ribosomal RNA". It matches the Rfam family "Bacterial small subunit ribosomal RNA", at positions 30 to 507 of the family's 1533-position model. The record is from RNAcentral.